GCGAAUGUGGCGGAAUUGGUAGACGCACUGGAUUUAGGUUCCAGCGCCGCAAGGCGUGCGAGUUCGAGUCUCGCCUUUCGCACCA
Molecule: transfer RNA, 85 nt
Filed under: Nevskiaceae bacterium
Lineage: Bacteria; Pseudomonadati; Pseudomonadota; Gammaproteobacteria; Nevskiales; Nevskiaceae
Also listed under: 2 other names
Description: Sinobacteraceae bacterium tRNA-Leu
Rfam family: tRNA
About the family: Transfer RNA (tRNA) molecules are approximately 80 nucleotides in length. Their secondary structure includes four short double-helical elements and three loops (D, anti-codon, and T loops).
Source: RNAcentral